UACGGAGGGUGCAAGCGUUAAUCGGAAUUACUGGGCGUAAAGCGCACGCAGGCGGCUUGUUAAGUCAGAUGUGAAAUCCCCGGGCUCAACCUGGGAACUGCAUCUGAUACUGGCAAGCUUGAGUCUCGUAGAGGGGGGUAGAAUUCCAGGUGUAGCGGUGAAAUGCGUAGAGAUCUGGAGGAAUACCGGUGGCGAAGGCGGCCCCCUGGCC
RNAcentral lists this ribosomal RNA (211 nucleotides) under uncultured bacterium. Its description in RNAcentral is "partial 16S ribosomal RNA". It matches the Rfam family "Bacterial small subunit ribosomal RNA", at positions 524 to 734 of the family's 1533-position model. The record is from RNAcentral.